This 265-nucleotide ribosomal RNA is filed under the name uncultured archaeon. RNAcentral's name for it is "partial 16S ribosomal RNA". It matches the Rfam family "Archaeal small subunit ribosomal RNA", at positions 717 to 982 of the family's 1478-position model. The record is from RNAcentral.
AGACGUCUACAUUAGAUACCCGCGUAGUCCCAGCCGUAAACUAUGCGCGUUAGGUGUAUCGGUGACCACGCGUUACUGAUGCGCCGAAGAGAAAUCGUGAAACGCACCACCUGGGAAGUACGGUCGCAAGGCUGAAACUUAAAGGAAUUGGCGGGGGAGCACCACAACAGGUGGAGCCUGCGGUUUAAUUGGAUUCAACGCCGGACAUCUCACCGGAUAAGACAGCUGAAUGAUUGUCAAUCUGAAGGUUUUACAUGACUAGCUG